This 3014-nucleotide ribosomal RNA is filed under the name Salmonella enterica subsp. enterica. RNAcentral's name for it is "23S ribosomal RNA". It matches the Rfam family "Bacterial large subunit ribosomal RNA". Lineage: Bacteria; Pseudomonadati; Pseudomonadota; Gammaproteobacteria; Enterobacterales; Enterobacteriaceae. The record is from RNAcentral.
GGUUAAGCGACUAAGCCGUACAUGCGGAUGCCCCGGGCAGUCAGAGGCGAUGAAGGCGUGCUAAUUCAGCAUAGCGCCGGUAAGGUGAUAUGAACCGGUUAUAACCGGCGAUACCCGAAUGGGGAAACCCAGUGUGAUUCGUCACACUAUCAUUAACCCGAAUCCAUAGGUUAAUGAGGCGAACCGGGGAACUGGAAACAUCUAAGUACCCCGAGUGAAAGAAAUCAACCGAGAUUCCCCAGAAGCGCGAGCGAACGGGGAGGAAGCCCAGAGCCCUGAACUGGGGCAUGUGUGUUAGUGCGGAAGCGCCCGAAAGGCGCGCGAUACAGGUGACAGCCCCGUACAAUAAAAGCGCAUGCUGCAGAGCUCGAUGAGCAGGGCGUGACACGUGGUAUCCUGUCCGAAUAUGGGGACCAUCCUCCAAGGCUAAAUAAUUCUUACUGACCGAUAGUGAACCAGUACCGUGAGGAAAGCGCUAAAGAACCCCGGCGAGGGAGUGAAAAAGAACCUGAAACCGCGGGUACGUACAAGCAGUGGGAUUCUGACCACCAAAGCGCGUUUCGCUUUGUGGUGCGCACAAAGAAGCGUAACGACAGCACUGAAUAUUGUUAACGGAGCGCAAGCGACGUUCGUAACAUACAAAGUCAAGCAGUGGAGCGCUUUUAAAGUGGGGUGACUGCGUACCUUUUGUAUACCGUCAGCGAUCAUAUUCUGCAGCAAGGUUAACCGAACAGGUUUCGAGGGGAAACCGAGUUCCAUCAAGCGUUGUUGCAGGGUAUAGACCCGAAACUCGGUGAUUCAGCCAUGGGCAGGUUGAAGGUUGGGUAACACUAACUGGAGUGACCGAACCGACUACGUUAAAAAUUAGUGGAUGACCCGUGGCUGGGGUGAAAGGCCAAUCAAACCGUAUGAUAGCUGGUUCUCCCGAAAGCUAUUUAGGUAGCGCCCGUGAAUUAUCUCCGUAGAAAGCACUGUUUCGGCUAGGGCCAUCCCGGCUUUUUACCAACCCGAUGCAAAAUCCGGUGAAUACCGGAGAAUGUUAUCACGGGAGACACACGGCGGGUGCUAACGUCCGUCGAAGAGGAAAACAAACCUAUGACCGCCAGCUAAGGCGUCCCAAAGUCAUCAUGGUUAAGGGAACGAUGUGUGCCGCCCAGACAGCCGAUGUCGGGCUUGUGCUGUUUCAUCAUUUAAAGAAAGCUGCACAGUCUACCGGUCGAGUCGGCCUGGCGCGGAAGAUGUAACGGGGCUGUCCAUGCACCGAAGUUGCGGGCGCAGCGACGCCAUGCCGCUGCAGGGGAGCUGCCCUGUGUGCUCUCCGCCGUGAAGGUGGCCUGUGAGGGUUGCUGGAGGUAUCAGAAGUGCGAAUGCUGACAUAAGUAACGAUAAAGGGGCGAAAAGCCUGCCUGCCGGACCAAGGGUUCCUGUCCAACGUUAAUCGGGGCAGGGGUAUGGAAUGACCCCAAGGCGAGUCGAAAGGCGUAUCGAUGCAAAACGGGUUAAUAUUCCCGUACUUGGUGUUACCGCGGCGUGGACGGAGAAGGCCAUGUUGGCCGGGCGACGGUUGUCCCGGUUUGGGCGUGCAGGUGUGUUCCGUAAAUCCGGUUCACUUUAACACUGAGGCGUGACGACGAGGCACUACGGUGCUUAGAAGCAACAAAUGCCCUGCUUCAAAGAAAAGCUUCCUAAGCAUCAGGUAACAUCAAAUCGUACCCCAAAACCGACACAGGUCGCGUGGUGAGGUCACCGUAAGGCGCUUGAGAGAACUUCCGGGUGAAGGAACUAGGCAAAAUGGGUGCCGCAACUUCGUGAGCAUACCGGACAUCGUGCAGGUGGAAGCGGGAUUUACCAUGGAGCUGAAGUCAGUCGAAGAUACCAGCUGGCUGCAACUGUUUAUUAAAACACAGCACUGUGCAAACACGAAAGUGGGACGCAUACGGUGUGACGCGCCCGGUGCCGGAAGGUUAAUUGAUGGGGUCAGCGCAAGCGAAGUUCUGGAUCGAAGCCCUGGCAAACGGCGGCCGUAACCCGCACCCGUCCUAAGGUGCAGCGAAAUUCCUGUCGGGUAAGUUCCGACCUGCACGAAUGGCGUACGAUGGCCGCCGUUCCACCUCGAGACUCAGCGAAAUUGAACUCGCUGUGAAGAUGCAGUGUACCGCGGCAAGACGGAAAAGACCCCGUGAACCUUUACUAUAGCUUCUGACACUGAACAUUGAGCCUGGAUGCAGGCAUAGGUGGAGGCUUUGAAGCGUGGACGCCAGUCUGCGGAGCCGACCUGAAAUACCACCCUACCGUUUGAUGUUCUUAACGUGGACCCGUAAUCCGGGCUGCGGACAGUGUCUGGUGGGUAAGAAGCUUCUGACUGGGGCGGCCCUCCCAAAGAGCAACGGAGGAGCACGAAGGUUGGCUAACUUCGCCCGACAUCAGGAUAAGUUGCGCAAUGGCAAAGCCGCUUCGACGGCGAGCGUGACGGCGCGCAGGUGCGAAAGCAGGUCAUAGUGAUCCUGCGUUCUGAAACGAAGCGCCAUCGCUCAACGGAUAAAAGGUACUCCGGGGAUAACAGGCCGAUACCGCCUUACAGUUCAUAUCGACGGCGGUGUUCGCACCCUCGAUGUCGGCCUUCAUCACAUCCUCGCCAGCUGAAGUAGGUCCCGGCGGCGCGCUGUUCGCCAUUUAAAGCGGUACGCGAGCUGGGUUUAGAACGCGUGAGACAGUUCGGUCUUAUCUGCCGGGCGCUGGAGAACUGAGGGGCUGCUCCCAGUACGAGAUGACCGAGUGGACGCAUCACUGGUGUGCCCGUUGUCAUGCCAAUGGCACUGCCCGGUGAAGCAAAUGCGGAAGAGAUAUGCGUUGCUUAUCUGGGCUAACGAAAUCUAACCCCGGUAUAUUCCUGAGACUUGUAGAGCUCCUGAAGGAAAUCGCUGAAAUACUACCACUUUUUUUCGAUAGCUCGGGUGUAAGCAGCGAUGCGCUGAAAUACCCGGCGCACCAAUGAAAUCGUGAGGCUUAACUCA